This 406-nucleotide ribosomal RNA is filed under the name uncultured bacterium. Its description in RNAcentral is "partial 16S ribosomal RNA". It matches the Rfam family "Bacterial small subunit ribosomal RNA", at positions 30 to 526 of the family's 1533-position model. The record is from RNAcentral.
AUUGAACGCUGGCGGCAGGCCUAACACAUGCAAGUCGAACGAGUGGCGGACGGGUGAGUAAUUUCUGUGAAACUGCCCGAUGGAGGGGGAUAACUACUGGAAACUGUAGCUAAUACCGCAUCCCAUCGGAUGUGCCCAGAGGGGAUUAGCUAGUAGGUGGGGUAACGGCUCACCUAGGCGCCGAUCCCUAGCUGGUCUGAGAUGAUGACCAGCCACGCUGGAACUGAGACACGGUCCAGACUCAUACGGGAGGCAGCAGUGGGGAAGAUUGCACAAUGGGCGCAAUCCUGAUGCAGCCAUGCCGAGUGUAUGAAGAAGGGCUUGGAGUUGUAAAGUACUUUCAGCGGGGAGGCGUUACCGGCAGACGAAGCACCGGCUAACCCCGUGUCAGCAGCCGCGGUAAUAC